UACAGAGGGUGCAAGCGUUAAUCGGAAUUACUGGGCGUAAAGCGUGCGUAGACGGUAGCGUAAGUCGGGUGUGAAAGCCCCGGGCUCAACUCCAGAAUUGCCUUUGAAACGGGAACGCUUGAGUCCGAGAGAGGAUGGCGGAAUUCCUAGUGUAGAGGUGAAAUUCGUAGAUAUUAGGAAGAACACCGGUGGCGAAGGCGGCCAUCUGGCUCGGUACUGACGCUCAGGUUCGAAAGCGUGGGGAGCAAACAGG
This 253-nucleotide ribosomal RNA is filed under the name uncultured bacterium. Its description in RNAcentral is "partial 16S ribosomal RNA". It matches the Rfam family "Bacterial small subunit ribosomal RNA", at positions 524 to 776 of the family's 1533-position model. The record is from RNAcentral.